GAGCACGUAGGUGGGUUUGUAAGUCAGAUGUGAAAGCCUUCUGUUCAACGGAAGAAUUGCAUCUGAAACUGCGAGUCUUGAGUGUAGGAGGGGAGAAUGGAACUUCUGGUGGAGCGGUGAAAUGCGUAGAUAUCAGAAGGAACGCCGGCGGCGAAAGCGACUCUCUGGCCUAUUACUGACACUCAGUGUGCGAAAGCUAGGGGAGCAAACGGGAUUAGAUACCCCGGUAGUCCUAGCCGUAAACGAUGGGCACUAAGUAGAGGGGUUUU
This 269-nucleotide ribosomal RNA is filed under the name uncultured Planctomycetales bacterium. RNAcentral describes it as "partial 16S ribosomal RNA". It matches the Rfam family "Bacterial small subunit ribosomal RNA", at positions 565 to 832 of the family's 1533-position model. The record is from RNAcentral. Lineage: Bacteria; Pseudomonadati; Planctomycetota; Planctomycetia; Planctomycetales.